AUGGUUUAUCUUUAUUAUUGAGUCGGAUGAUUCCUUCUAUAAAAAUAUUUGAGUGUGAUGGCACCUAUUAAAUAAAAUAAAUUAACAUUUUUUACUCAUAAAAUAAAGUAACAUAAGAAAAAUAUUAUAUGUACAUGGAUUAAGUAUUAUUUUUUUUACAACACGAUAAAAAAAAAUUGAAUGGUAAAAACAAAUAGACAAGAACGAUUUAAUUAGUUUUUUUUUUUAGAGAAAUUAUGAUUUGGUUAAUUUAAAAUUAUUGGUUGUAUUGUUUAAACUCCACUCUUCACGGCUCAGUCUUCUUAAUAAUAAUAAUAAUAAUUAAAUAAAUGCCAAAUGGAAGCAUAAGUCAUAACCUUACUUUUCUCAAUGGUGUUGCAGCGCCCUCCUUCUCUUACCAGUUACCCUCAUCUCCUAUUCUCUCUAAACCAAAACCUGCAUCUCCUUCCCUUACUAGAUCUACAUUAUUUCCACAUCUCCGUACUGUUUUCGAGUUGAUCUGUUUCAAGAAUCGUACUGUAAUCUUCUUCCUACCGCUGCUGGAUCUCACCAUCUUCUUUCUCUAUUACUUUUGUUUUAACUUUUAACGAUUGAAAAACACUUUGUGCAUUGAACCGGUCCGGUUCACCAAACCGGUCCGAGUCACCGGUUUCUACGAUUUUCCCCGAGUCGCGCCGGUUCUGACCGGUUCAACUGCACGACCGAUCCAUUAAGUAGACCGAACCGGUCAUCCAUCCGGUUCAAGGUUCGACCGGCCGGUCCGAGUUUUAAAACUAUGAGAGAGAUAAUAAGAAGAUAAUGUGAGUAUGAGAGAGAAGGUUGUACAAAAUUGUCAUAUAUGGAUGUACAAAUAUCAUUUCAUAAAAAAAAAAAAAAAAAAAAAAAAAAAAACACUCAAAUUGCAUCAUAAGACAACGACAAGAGAAAGGGCAAAAUCAUGUUUGCUCGAAGAAUUGUCGCUGCUGUUNAUUUUUUUAAUAAACGGACUUUUUUAUUCAUUAAUUUAUUUUAUGUACACAUAAAAACAUAAAUUUGAAAUUUUAUAAUUUAAUCAAUUUUUGUGUUACUUAA
This 1071-nucleotide long non-coding RNA is filed under the name Medicago truncatula (barrel medic). RNAcentral's name for it is "long non-coding RNA (MTRU_LNC007903)". Lineage: Eukaryota; Viridiplantae; Streptophyta; Magnoliopsida; Fabales; Fabaceae. The record is from RNAcentral.